GGAAGAUGAAAAGGUCAUUGAAAAGGACAAUCUUUUUUAUGAUGAUUUGACUCUGGCAUCUCACUUGAGAACCAGAGAAAUUGAAUUCGAAAAACAGAAACUGGUAAUAAAGACCAUCUUUGAAGAGAAAACACAGACAUUUCUCAAGGAAAUCAAAGAGAUAUGUGCUAUGGUGAGAGAGUCCAAUUCAUGGGUACUUUUCCCAUUUGAAUUCGACAAGGAUUUCUUCAGGGCCUGUUUGUGUGCACUCUCCUGAAAAUUGGAGAUAUAGUGAUGUCAAGACUGAAAUUAAAAAGAAGAAUAAACUGAAGCAUUCCAUGAACA
RNAcentral lists this long non-coding RNA (324 nucleotides) under Vombatus ursinus (common wombat). RNAcentral describes it as "lncRNA (ENSVURG00010019584.1)". Lineage: Eukaryota; Metazoa; Chordata; Mammalia; Diprotodontia; Vombatidae. The record is from RNAcentral.